CUACACGACCGUACCGCAAACCGACACUGGUGCGCGAGAUGAGUAUUCUAAGGCGCUUGAGAGAACUCAGGAGAAGGAACUCGGCAAAUUGACACCGUAACUUCGGAAGAAGGUGUGCCUUUAGUAGGUGAACCUGUACAAGGGGAGCCCAAUGAGGUUGCAAAAAAUCGGUGGCUGCGACUGUUUAAUAAAAACACAGCACUCUGCAAACACGAAAGUGGACGUAUAGGGUGUGACGCCUGCCCGGUGCUGGAAGAUUAAAUGAUGGGGUGCAAGCUCUUGAUUGAGUCCCAGUAAACGGCGGCCGUAACUAUAACGGUCCUAAGGUAGCGAAAUUCCUUGUCGGGUAAGUUCCGACCUGCACGAAUGGCGUAACGAUGGCCACACUGUCUCCUCCUGAGACUCAGCGAAGUUGAAAUGUUUGUGAUGAUGCAAUCUCCCCGCGGAAAGACGGAAAGACCCCAUGAACCUUUACUGUAGCUUUGUAUUGGACUUUGAACAGAUCUGUGUAGGAUAGGUGGGAGGCUUUGAAGUGUGGUCGCUAGAUCGCAUGGAGCCAACGUUGAAAUACCACCCUGGUGUGUUUGAGGUUCUAACCUAGGCCCGUAAUCCGGGUCGGGGACAGUGCAUGGUAGGCAGUUUGACUGGGGCGGUCUCCUCCCAAAGCGUAACGGAGGAGUUCGAAGGUACGCUAGGUACGGUCGGACAUCGUGCUAAUAGUGCAAUGGCAUAAGCGUGCUUAACUGCGAGACUGACAAGUCGAGCAGAUGCGAAAGCAGGACAUAGUGAUCCGGUGGUUCUGUAUGGAAGGGCCAUCGCUCAACGGAUAAAAGGUACUCUGGGGAUAACAGGCUGAUACCGCCCAAGAGUUCAUAUCGACGGCGGUGUUUGGCACCUCGAUGUCGGCUCAUCUCAUCCUGGGGCUGUAGCCGGUCCCAAGGGUAUGGCUGUUCGCCAUUUAAAGAGGUACGUGAGCUGGGUUUAAAACGUCGUGAGACAGUUUGGUCCCUAUCUUCCGUGGGCGCUGCAGAUUUGAGGAAGCCUGCUCCUAGUACGAGAGGACCGGAGUGGACACACCUCUGGUGUAUCGGUUGUCACGCCAGUGGCAUUGCCGAGUAGCUAUGUGUGGAAGAGAUAACCGCUGAAAGCAUCUAAGCGGGAAACUCGUUUCAAGAUGAGAUCUGCCGGGGCCUUGAGCCCCCUAAAGAGUCGUUCAAGACCAGGACGUUGAUAGGUCGGGUGUGGAAGCGCAGUAAUGCGUUAAGCUAACCGAUACUAAUUGCUCGUGCGGCUUGACCCC
RNAcentral lists this ribosomal RNA (1300 nucleotides) under metagenome. RNAcentral's name for it is "bacterial LSU rRNA". It matches the Rfam family "Bacterial large subunit ribosomal RNA", at positions 1634 to 2925 of the family's 2925-position model. The record is from RNAcentral.